Molecule: long non-coding RNA, 214 nt
Filed under: Elaeis guineensis (African oil palm)
Lineage: Eukaryota; Viridiplantae; Streptophyta; Magnoliopsida; Arecales; Arecaceae
Description: long non-coding RNA (EGUI_LNC045323)
Source: RNAcentral
GUUAAAUGGAGUGUAGACUCUCUCUCUCUCUCUAUCAUAUAUAUAUCACUGGGAUCAAAAUAAGAUACUGAAUUGAACCUUAAAAAGAAAAAGAUCUUAAUGCUUUAUAGCUUAAGAUUGAACCAAAAAGAGGUGCAUGAAAUUUCAUCAAAGUUAGAAGUGGGAUUGGAGUAUCAACUUCUUUUGAUAAGCAAGAGAUGAAAUCAUGGUGCAA